GAGCGACGAACCGGGGCUUGCCCCGGGGCAGAGCCGCGAACGGGUGAGUAACACGUGGGUUACCUGCCCUGAUGACCGGGACAACCCGUCGAAAGACGGGCUAAUACCGGAUGUGCCCGCAAGGGGAAAGGAGGCGUAAGCUUCCGCAUCGGGAUGGGCCCGCGGAGCAUUAGCUUGUUGGUGAGGUAAAAGCUCACCAAGGCUUCGAUGCUUAGCUGGUCUGAGAGGACGAUCAGCCACACUGGGACUGAGACACGGCCCAGACUCCUACGGGAGGCAGCAGUGGGGAAUCUUGCGCAAUGCACGAAAGUGUGACG
Molecule: ribosomal RNA, 317 nt
Filed under: uncultured soil bacterium
Lineage: Bacteria
Description: bacterial SSU rRNA
Rfam family: Bacterial small subunit ribosomal RNA
Source: RNAcentral